This is a long non-coding RNA of Penaeus monodon (black tiger shrimp), 241 nucleotides long. RefSeq lists it as uncharacterized. The transcript is spliced from 2 exons. The record is from RefSeq and is a predicted model, not a curated record. Lineage: Eukaryota; Metazoa; Arthropoda; Malacostraca; Decapoda; Penaeidae.
CCUGCAGUCGCCCGGGAACUCCUACGGCGCCUCCGACCAUGCCCCCCGCCGUAGCCAACCUGGUGAAGAAGUACCAAGCCGCCGCUGCCGCCUUCAUGCCCCCGGCCGCCGGAGCCGUCUGAGGACCCUGUUCCGGAUUUGGAACGUCGGCUCGAGAAAUGUGAAUGUGCUGGACGCUUUCAUUUCGUUAAAGAGUAGUAUUGCGUAUGCUAGACAUAUCAAUAAAGUUAUUUGAAUUCAA